RNAcentral lists this ribosomal RNA (495 nucleotides) under uncultured bacterium. Its description in RNAcentral is "partial 16S ribosomal RNA". It matches the Rfam family "Bacterial small subunit ribosomal RNA", at positions 29 to 506 of the family's 1533-position model. The record is from RNAcentral.
AUGCACGCUGGCGGCGUGCCUAAUACAUGCAAGUCGAGCGAACAGACGAGGAGCUUGCUCCUUUGACGUUAGCGGCGGACGGGUGAGUAACACGUAGGUAACCUACCUAUAAGACUGGGAUAACUUCGGGAAACCGGAGCUAAUACCGGAUAAUAUUUCGAACCGCAUGGUUCGAUAGUGAAAGAUGGCUUUGCUAUCACUUAUAGAUGGACCUGCGCCGUAUUAGCUAGUUGGUAAGGUAACGGCUUACCAAGGCAACGAUACGUAGCCGACCUGAGAGGGUGAUCGGCCACACUGGAACUGAGACACGGUCCAGACUCCUACGGGAGGCAGCAGUAGGGAAUCUUCCGCAAUGGGCGAAAGCCUGACGGGGCAACGCCGCGUGAGUGAUGAAGGUCUUCGGAUCGUAAAACUCUGUUAUUAGGGAAGAACAAACGUGUAAGUAACUGUGCACGUCUUGACGGUACCUAAUCAGAAAGCCACGGCUAACUACGG